RNAcentral lists this ribosomal RNA (497 nucleotides) under uncultured bacterium. RNAcentral's name for it is "partial 16S ribosomal RNA". It matches the Rfam family "Bacterial small subunit ribosomal RNA", at positions 28 to 507 of the family's 1533-position model. The record is from RNAcentral.
GAUGAACGCUGGCGGCGUGCCUAAUACAUGCAAGUCGAGCGAACAGACGAGGAGCUUGCUCCUCUGACGUUAGCGGCGGACGGGUGAGUAACACGUGGAUAACCUACCUAUAAGACUGGGAUAACUUCGGGAAACCGGAGCUAAUACCGGAUAAUAUAUUGAACCGCAUGGUUCAAUAGUGAAAGACGGUUUUGCUGUCACUUAUAGCUGGAUCCGUGCCGCAUUAGCUAGUUGGUAAGGUAACGGCUUACCAAGGCAACGAUGCGUAGCCGACCGGAGAGGGUGGUCGGCCACACGGGAACUGAGACAGGGUCCAGACUCCUACGGGAGGCAGCAGUAGGGAAUCUUCCGCAAUGGGCGAAAGCCUGACGGAGCAACGCCGCGUGAGUGAUGAAGGUCUUCGGAUCGUAAAACUCUGUUAUUAGGGAAGAACAAAUGUGUAAGUAACUAUGCACGUCUUGACGGUACCUAAUCAGAAAGCCACGGCUAACUACGUG